ACAUUGAAAAAGGGGAAUGUCUU
This 23-nucleotide small nuclear RNA is filed under the name Arabidopsis thaliana (thale cress). Its description in RNAcentral is "snRNA_10903". Lineage: Eukaryota; Viridiplantae; Streptophyta; Magnoliopsida; Brassicales; Brassicaceae. The record is from RNAcentral.